CCUACGGGAGGCAGCAGUGAGGAAUAUUGGUCAAUGGACGAGAGUCUGAACCAGCCAAGUAGCGUGAAGGAUGACUGCCCUAUGGGUUGUAAACUUCUUUUAUAUGGGAAUAAAAUGUUCCACGUGUGGGAUUUUGUAUGUACCAUAUGAAUAAGGAUCGGCUAACUCCGUGCCAGCAGCCGCGGUAAUACGGAGGACCUGAGCGUUAUCCGGAUUUAUUGGGUUUAAAGGGAGCGUAGGUGGAUUGUUAAGUCAGUUGUGAAAGUUUGCGGCUCAACCGUAAAAUUGCAGUUGAAACUGGCAGUCUUGAGUACAGUAGAGGUGGGCGGAAUUCGUGGUGUAGCGGUGAAAUGCUUAGAUAUCACGAAGAACUCCGAUUGCGAAGGCAGUUCACUGGACUGCAACUGACACUGAGGCUCGAAAGUGUGGGUAUCAAACAGGAUUAGAUACCCGUGUAGUC
This 460-nucleotide ribosomal RNA is filed under the name uncultured bacterium. RNAcentral's name for it is "partial 16S ribosomal RNA". It matches the Rfam family "Bacterial small subunit ribosomal RNA", at positions 338 to 795 of the family's 1533-position model. The record is from RNAcentral.